UUGUACGACGGAUGCUAUCUAUCAAUUGUUGGUUGCUCCAUGGCCUUUCGCACUCUAAUGCUUAUGAUAAUCGAUCUCCGCCGGUAACAAACAUCCCGCUUCUUGUUUUGGUCAGUACUUAUCCAUUCUACUGUAUUUACCCUGUUGAAACUGUAGUGAAAUGCUCACUUUCAGCUGAUGCCGUCUUGUCUUCCUUUCCAUCGUUUAACUGCUUGUAAUUUAGUGUUGUCAGCCUGGUUUCGUGAUUGAGGCCAGUUUCUGUGUUUGUUUCACAUUUCUCCUCGUUAUAUAUUCAUUAUCAUGAGUUGCCGUGACGACAGAUUCUUGGAACCUACCUAACUAAUGUGUCCUCUGUCAUGUCGUCAAGGGUGAAGUGUCAGGUCUGUGGUAGUAUCAGAAAGCAUGGUGAGCCUUUUUAACCAUAUUAUUUUUUUAGUGCAUUACAACUGAAUGAAAGCAUGAAAGGUUUUCAAAUAAUGUGAAACAAUCAACCAAGGUCUUACGUUUUCUUGUCUUGAGAUGUACAAUAUCAUGUCGCGUAGUCGCAAGGGAAAAAUACUAUAAAAUCCUUUCGAGAAACAGGGAGAGUUGCGUGCAUGCUGUAUGCGAAGGACAGUAAAAUUAGCUUCUCAGCCUUGCUUUCGUUCUUGCUGAAUGUUGGCCAAUAAUGAUUAUAUUCUAUUACCACUUAGACAGUGGUUAAAUCACCUAACGUUUGAUCGAAUUCGGGUCGAAAAUGUCGUUGUCCGUUUCGAUUGUGUGUUUGAUUUAAAGGAAGCACUCGAGAGUCCAGACCAAAUGUGAAGGCGGUGCCUCAUCAAAACAGUGUGUGCUAGGGAAAGGGAAAGGAAGGUCAGGAAGAAAGAUGCCAAUGAAAGUAGUAUUUGGUACACUGGAUAAUA
This 902-nucleotide long non-coding RNA is filed under the name Populus tremula. Its description in RNAcentral is "long non-coding RNA (PTRE_LNC000183)". Lineage: Eukaryota; Viridiplantae; Streptophyta; Magnoliopsida; Malpighiales; Salicaceae. The record is from RNAcentral.